UCUCUCAAGCAGCUCCAUUAACUCAAUAGGGUUGCAGCAGUUUGUGGGUGCUGUUUGCACGUGUGCAGGUGCAACUUCUAUUUUUAACCCUUCCUCUUAUGAUCUUAUAUCUUCUUUUUUACUAGAGAAAUUUCAGGCCAAAGAAGUGGAAACAACAAGUGCAAUGAGUGCUAACGCUGAUUUGGAUGAAUGUUUGCAGAAAGAACAGUUUGAAAUGACAGUGGGAAAGAGAAACCCAAAGCUGCAGCAUGGCUGUGAGCGACUGCUCCCACACUCUGUUCACUGGGAGGAGAGCUGCUGCAGCUGGGGGUUAGACAGCUGAAGAAAAGAGUCCAGCAAGAAGUGACGGGGGCAGCUCUUGGGACAAGAUGACAUCUGCCAGGAGGAAUGUGGCAUUGGCGGCUUCAGCAGCUGAGGGUUGCUCUUCUCCUCUGUGCGCUCUGGUGCAGACCUGCUUCCCGUCAUCCUUUGCUCAGUAAUGAGGAUGGUAAUUGUUAUUUAUUGGCCAAGGAUUUCAGCAGUCGCAAGUGAUUUUUUGAGACCAAUUUUGUCUUUUUAAGAAAGUGAUGAACAUUUCCUCCCCC
This is a long non-coding RNA of Oxyura jamaicensis (ruddy duck), 584 nucleotides long. RefSeq lists it as uncharacterized. The record is from RefSeq and is a predicted model, not a curated record. The transcript has 2 exons. Lineage: Eukaryota; Metazoa; Chordata; Aves; Anseriformes; Anatidae.